This 429-nucleotide ribosomal RNA is filed under the name Verrucomicrobiota bacterium. Its description in RNAcentral is "Verrucomicrobia bacterium partial 16S ribosomal RNA". It matches the Rfam family "Bacterial small subunit ribosomal RNA", at positions 355 to 776 of the family's 1533-position model. The record is from RNAcentral. Lineage: Bacteria; Pseudomonadati; Verrucomicrobiota.
UAGGGAAUCUUCCGCAAUGGACGCAAGUCUGACGGAGCAACGCCGCGUGAGUGAAGAAGGUUUUCGGAUCGUAAAACUCUGUUGUAAGAGAAGAACAAAUUGUAGAGUAACUGCUACAGUCUUGACGGUAUCUUACCAGAAAGCCACGGCCAACUACGUUCCAGCAGCCGCGGUAAUACGUAGGUGGCAAGCGUUGUCCGGAUUUAUUGGGCGUAAAGGGGGCGCAGGCUGCUUCUUAAGUCUAAUGUGAAAGCCCACGGCUUAACCGUGGAAGUGCAUUGGAAACUGGGAAGCUUGAGUACAGAAGAGGAAAGUGGAACUCCAUGUGUAGCGGUGGAAUGCGAAGAUAUAUGGAAGAACACCAGUGGCGAAAGCGACUUUCUGGUCUGUCACUGACGCUGAGGCCCGAAAGCGUGGGUAGCAAACAGG